RNAcentral lists this ribosomal RNA (388 nucleotides) under uncultured bacterium. RNAcentral describes it as "bacterial SSU rRNA". It matches the Rfam family "Bacterial small subunit ribosomal RNA", at positions 30 to 416 of the family's 1533-position model. The record is from RNAcentral.
AUUGAACGCUGGCGGCAGGCCUAACACAUGCAAGUCGAGCGGUAGAGAGGUGCUUGCAUCUCUUGAGAGCGGCGGACGGGUGAGUAAUGCCUAGGAAUCUGCCUAGUGGUGGGGGGAUAACGUUCGGAAACGGACGCUAAUACCGCAUACGUCCUACGGGAGAAAGCGGGGGAUCUUCGGACCUCGCGCCAUUAGAUGAGCCUAGGUCGGAUUAGCUAGUUGGUGAGGUAAUGGCUCACCAAGGCGACGAUCCGUAACUGGUCUGAGAGGAUGAUCAGUCACACUGGAACUGAGACACGGUCCAGACUCCUACGGGAGGCAGCAGUGGGGAAUAUUGGACAAUGGGCGCAAGCCUGAUCCAGCAAUGCCGCCGUGCAGGAUGAAGGCC